GAUGAACGCUGGCGGCGUGCCUAAUACAUGCAAGUCGAGCGAACAGACGAGAGUGCUUGCACUCUCUGACGUUAGCGGCGGACGGGUGAGUAACACGUGGGUAACCUACCUAUAAGACUGGGAUAACUUCGGGAAACCGGAGCUAAUACCGGAUAAUAUUUAGCUUCGCAUGAAGCAAUAGUGAAAGACGGUUCUGCUGUCACUUAUAGAUGGACCCGCGGUGUAUUAGCUAGUUGGUGAGGUAACGGCUCACCAAGGCAACGAUACAUAGCCGACCUGAGAGGGUGAUCGGCCACACUGGGACUGAGACACGGCCCAGACUCCUACGGGAGGCAGCAGUAGGGAAUCUUCCGCAAUGGACGAAAGUCUGACGGAGCAAUGCCGCGUGAGUGAAGAUGGUUUUCGGAUCGUAAAACUCUGUUGUAAGGGAAGAACAAGUACGUUAGUAACUGAACGUACCUUGACGGUACCUUACCAGAAAGCCACGGCUAACUACGUG
Molecule: ribosomal RNA, 499 nt
Filed under: uncultured bacterium
Lineage: Bacteria
Description: partial 16S ribosomal RNA
Rfam family: Bacterial small subunit ribosomal RNA
Source: RNAcentral